RNAcentral lists this ribosomal RNA (465 nucleotides) under uncultured bacterium. RNAcentral's name for it is "bacterial SSU rRNA". It matches the Rfam family "Bacterial small subunit ribosomal RNA", at positions 28 to 494 of the family's 1533-position model. The record is from RNAcentral.
GACGAACGCUGGCGGCGUGCCUCAGACAUGCAAGUCGAACGCGAAAGUCCCCUUCGGGGGGCGAGUAGAGUGGCGCACGGGUGAGUAACACGUAGGUAAUCUACCUUUGGAUGGGGAAUAACAACCGGAAACGGUUGCUAAUACCGCAUAAUGCAGCGGCACCUAAUGGUGACAGUUGUUAAAGCGGGGGAUCGAAAGACCUCGCGUCUAAAGAGGAGCCUGCGGCGGAUUAGCUAGUUGGUAAGGUAANGGCUUACCAAGGCUACGAUCCGUAACCGGCCUGAGAGGGCGGUCGGUCACACUGACACUGAAUAACGGGUCAGACUCCUACGGGAGGCAGCAGUCGGGAAUUUUGGGCAAUGGGCGAAAGCCUGACCCAGCAACGCCGCGUGAAGGAUGAAGUAUUUCGGUAUGUAAACUUCGAAAGAAUAGGAAGAAUCAAUGACGGUACUAUUUAUAAGGUCC